AAACCAACUGGGAUUACCUUAGUAACGGCGAGUGAAGCGGUAAAAGCUCAAAUUUGAAAUCUGGUACUUUCAGUGCCCGAGUUGUAAUUUGUAGAAUUUGUCUUUGAUUAGGUCCUUGUCUAUGUUCCUUGGAACAGGACGUCAUAGAGGGUGAGAAUCCCGUUUGGCGAGGAUACCUUUUCUCUGUAAGACUUUUUCGAAGAGUCGAGUUGUUUGGGAAUGCAGCUCAAAGUGGGUGGUAAAUUCCAUCUAAAGCUAAAUAUUGGCGAGAGACCGAUAGCGAACAAGUACAGUGAUGGAAAGAUGAAAAGAACUUUGAAAAGAGAGUGAAAAAGUACGUGAAAUUGUUGAAAGGGAAGGGCAUUUGAUCAGACAUGGUGUUUUUUUAAUGUGCAAGUCUCUCGUGGACAUGUGCCUCUGGAAAUUAACACUGGGCCAACAUCAGUUCUGGCGGCAGGAUAAAUCAUUAAGAAUGUAGCUACCUCGGUAGUGUUAUAGCUUUUUGGAAUACUGCCAGCUGGGAUUGAGGACUGCGCUUCGGCAAGGAUGUUGGCAUAAUGGUUAAAUGCCG
This 571-nucleotide ribosomal RNA is filed under the name Hanseniaspora thailandica (nom. inval.). Its description in RNAcentral is "eukaryotic LSU rRNA". It matches the Rfam family "Eukaryotic large subunit ribosomal RNA", at positions 62 to 647 of the family's 3401-position model. The record is from RNAcentral. Lineage: Eukaryota; Fungi; Ascomycota; Saccharomycetes; Saccharomycodales; Saccharomycodaceae.